This 201-nucleotide ribosomal RNA is filed under the name Clostridioides difficile. Its description in RNAcentral is "partial 23S ribosomal RNA". It matches the Rfam family "Bacterial large subunit ribosomal RNA", at positions 1536 to 1737 of the family's 2925-position model. Lineage: Bacteria; Bacillati; Bacillota; Clostridia; Peptostreptococcales; Peptostreptococcaceae. The record is from RNAcentral.
GCAAAUCCGCUUUGAUAAUGCUGGGAUGUGAUGGGGAGCGAAAUUUAGUAGCGAAGUAGCUGAUUUCACACUGUCAAGAAAAGUCUCUAUCGAGGUUAAAGGUCCCCGUACCGCAAACCGACACAGGUGGGUGAGGAGAGUAUCCUAAGGCCAGCGAGAGAACUGUUGUUAAGGAACUCGGCAAAAUGACCCCGUAACUUA